RNAcentral lists this microRNA (22 nucleotides) under Macaca mulatta (Rhesus monkey). RNAcentral's name for it is "Mml-Mir-147_5p* (star (passenger))". Lineage: Eukaryota; Metazoa; Chordata; Mammalia; Primates; Cercopithecidae. The record is from RNAcentral.
GUGGAAACAUUUCCGCACAAAC